CGAUUCUGGCUCAGGAUAAACGCUGGCGGCGUGCUUAACACAUGCAAGUCGAACGGAGUAGUCCUCCCGUGACUGAAGAAGCUUGCUUCCGAGGAAACAUUUGGACUACUUAGUGGCGGACGGGUGAGUAACGCGUGGGUAACCUGCCUCAUACUGGGGGAUAGCAGUUGGAAACGACUGAUAAUACCGCAUAAGCGCACAGUACCGCAUGGUACAGUGUGAAAAACUCCGGUGGUGUGAGAUGGACCCGCGUCUGAUUAGCUAGUUGGCGAGGUAACGGCUCACCAAGGCGACGAUCAGUAGCCGGCCUGAGAGGGUGUACGGCCACAUUGGGACUGAGACACGGCCCAAACUCCUACGGGAGGCAGCAGUGGGGAAUAUUGGACAAUGGGGGAAACCCUGAUCCAGCGAACCGCCGCGUGAGCGAUGAAGUAUUUCGGUAUGUAAAGCUCUAUCAGCAGGGAAGAUAAUGACGGUACCUGACUAAGAAGCACCGGCUAAAUACGUGCCAGCCGCCGC
Molecule: ribosomal RNA, 519 nt
Filed under: uncultured bacterium
Lineage: Bacteria
Description: bacterial SSU rRNA
Rfam family: Bacterial small subunit ribosomal RNA
Source: RNAcentral